This 253-nucleotide ribosomal RNA is filed under the name uncultured bacterium. RNAcentral describes it as "partial 16S ribosomal RNA". It matches the Rfam family "Bacterial small subunit ribosomal RNA", at positions 524 to 776 of the family's 1533-position model. The record is from RNAcentral.
UACGUAGGGCGCAAGCGUUGUCCGGAAUUAUUGGGCGUAAAGAGCUCGUAGGCGGCUUGUCACGUCGGGUGUGAAAGCCCGGGGCUUAACCCCGGGUCUGCAUCCGAUACGGGCAGGCUAGAGUGUGGUAGGGGAGAUCGGAAUUCCUGGUGUAGCGGUGAAAUGCGCAGAUAUCAGGAGGAACACCAGCGGCGAAGGCGGCGCUCUGGGCCGGAACUGACGCUGAGGAGCGAAAGCGUGGGUAGCAAACAGG